This 408-nucleotide ribosomal RNA is filed under the name uncultured bacterium. RNAcentral's name for it is "partial 16S ribosomal RNA". It matches the Rfam family "Bacterial small subunit ribosomal RNA", at positions 28 to 526 of the family's 1533-position model. The record is from RNAcentral.
GACGAACGCUGGCGGCGUGCUUAACACAUGCAAGUCGAACGAAGUGGCGAACGGGUGAGUAACGCGUAAUCAACCUGCCCUUCAGCGGGGGACAACAGUUGGAAACGACUGCUAAUACCGCAUACUGAAGGGGGGGAUUGCGUCUGAUUAGCUAGUUGGAGGGGUAACGGCCAACCCAGGCGAUGAUCAGUAGGCGGUCUGGGAGGAGGAACGGCCACAAUUGGACGGAUGCACGGCCCAGACUACUACGGGAGGCAGCAGUGGGGAAACUUCCGCAAAGGACGAAAGGCUGACGGAGCAACGCCGCGUGAGUGAUGACGGGCUUCGGGUUGUAAAGCUCUGUUAAUCGGGACGCGGUACCGGAAUAGAAAGCCACGGCUAACUACGUGCCAGCAGCCGCGGUAAUUC